AUGCUAGUUCCAGCAAAUCUCGCAAAUCUCGACGCUGGUUCCAACAUUAUCACAUCACACCCUGUUGAAGCAUCUGCGCGCCACUCGUGGCUUUUUCGCCGGCCGAUUGCAGCUUCCACGUCCCGUUUGCAGCACGGGUUGCCGUCGCCAUGGCAGCACGCACGGCCGGUCGGUGCUUCCGCUCCAGGCAACGGCGGCGUCGACGCAUCACAGCUUGCAGCUUUUUUUUACUCUCCUCCACUCACCGUGGCGACGGCCGCCGUCGAGCCAAUGGCCGCGGGUACGUGGAAGAAGGGCAAGGAGGAGCAGAGGUGUUGUAGCACAAGGCGGGGGACAUGA
Molecule: ribosomal RNA, 339 nt
Filed under: Triticum aestivum (bread wheat)
Lineage: Eukaryota; Viridiplantae; Streptophyta; Magnoliopsida; Poales; Poaceae
Description: partial small subunit ribosomal RNA
Source: RNAcentral